RNAcentral lists this non-coding RNA (929 nucleotides) under Heteroteuthis dispar. RNAcentral describes it as "12S ribosomal RNA". The stretch from base 506 to 922 matches the Rfam family "Microsporidia small subunit ribosomal RNA", at positions 752 to 1303 of the family's 1311-position model. Lineage: Eukaryota; Metazoa; Mollusca; Cephalopoda; Sepiida; Sepiolidae. The record is from RNAcentral.
AAUUAAUUUGGUUUUGGUUAUAAUAUAGGCUAUUAUUAGGUUAAUAUAUGUUAGAUUUUUAUUAUAGUCGUUUUAUUUAUUUAUAUUGUUAUUUAUUUUGUUUAAUAUAAAUUAAGUAAUAAAUAAUAUUUUUAAUAUUUUAUUAUAAUGGUUAAAGUGAGUUACGCAGUAUUUAUUAUUAUACAAUGAAUGAGAGUUUGAUAUAGUUAAUGUAAGUUAAAAGUGGUUAAAUUGGUGCCAGCAUCUGCGGUUAUACUAAUGUUUUGAGUUUAUAUUAAUGUAGUAUAAAAUAAAGUAAUAAUUAUUAGUAUAUUUAGAUUAAUUAAGGGCAAGUAGUUGUAGGUAAAAUUUAAUGGUUGUUAUUAAUGAUAUUUUUCUAAUAUAUAAAGUCUUUGAAAGUAAGAAGAAAGACUAGGAUUAGAUACCCUAUUAUUCUUUAUUUUAAAAAUUUUAUUACUUAAGUAGUGUGAACAGGAAAUUUGUAAAAAAUAUGUAAGAUGUAUUUAGAAUGUUUAAAACUUAAAAGGCUUGGCGGUAUUAUAUAUCCUUCCAGGGGAGUUUGCUUAUUAAUUUGAUAAUCCUCAAUUUAUACUUACUUUUUUUUGAAUAUACUAUAAAUCAGUUUGUAUAUUGCUGUCAUCAGUUUAUUUUGUAAAAAUUUUAUAAGAGACUUUAUAAUGAGGUGAUUGGUAUGUCAAGUCAAAAUGCAGCUAAUAAAAAAGGUUUAUAAAGUGAGCUACAAUUUAUAAUUUUUAAAUCGGAUUGGAUUAUGUAAUUUAUCCAUGAAGUUGGACUUGGUAGUAAUAUUAAUAAUUAGUAGGUUUUUAUGAAUAUGGUUUUAUAAUGCGUACAUAUCGCCCGUCGCUCUUGUUGGAAAAUAAGAUAAGUCGUAACACAGUAGAGGUAGUGGAAACUGUUUCUGGUUUAAA